CGUAUUUUCCCCUCUAUAACACGCAGAUUUUUUCUCCUAAAAAGGAAGGGGAAAUGUUUGUGCGUGUUAUUGAGCGAAUGUGUGGUCCCUGGAGCCAAAUGGUGCGAGGGGAGGCAAAAAAAAUCAGGCAAAAAUCAAAUCGCGCGUCUCGGAGAAGGGAAACCUGAAAAGAGGAAGCGGCUGCUUUCCUGCAUUCUGCCUCAGGGUCUUACUGCCCACCCUCCUCUGUUUCUUUGCUGUGUUUGCUCAAACGGAACAAAGAGCAGGGAAAGCCCCUCCCCUCCAGGCAAGCAGAGGGGAAAGCAGAGUGUCGUCUCUGUGCUCCGGUGCUGCUGAAAACAUGCAGGAGGGAGAGAGAGCGAGAAAGAGAGAGAGAGAGCGCGAGCUGGCUGGCUUGGGUGGGUAGGUGAGGGAAAACUUUUGCCUUCCUUUCCUCCCUCCCGUUAUACCCCUCUCCUGCAUUCUUAGCCAGCUGCUUCUCUGCACACCCCUCUCCUGCUCCUUGUCCCUUCUGUGUUUUUCCUUCCCUCCCCACUUAAAAUGUGGUUAAAAAGCAUGGAUCCACAUGGAUCCUCAGGAUCUUUGCAUUGGGUCACCCCAAAUUCACCAUCAGAUCACAUAGCAUCCUGCCCCCCAAAAAUCACACACCCACUGUUGCCUGGGGCUGCAAUGGUGCAAAAAUGUGGUUACAAAGCAUGGAUCUACAUGGAUCCUCAGGAUCUUUGCAUUGGGUCACCCCAAAUUCACCAUCAGAUCACAUAGCAUGUCCAUGGCUACAGCCUGCCCCCCAAAAAUCAUGCACCCACUGUUGCCUGGGGCUGCAAUGGUGCAAAAAUGUGGUUAAAAAGCAUGGAUCCACAUGGAUCCUCAGGAUUUUUGCAUUGGGUCACCCCAAAUUCACCAUCAGAUCACAUAGCAUGUCCAUGGCUACAGCCUGCCCCCCAAAAAUCAUGCACCCACUGUUGCCUGGGGCUGCAAUGGUGCAAAAAUGUGGUUAAAAAGCAUGGAUCCACAUGGAUCCUCAGGAUUUUUGCAUUGGGUCACCCCAAAUUCACCAUCAGAUCACAUAGCAUGUCCAUGGCUACAGCCUGCCCCCCAAAAAUCACACACCCACUGUUGCCUGGGGCUGCAAUGGUGCAAAAAUGUGGUUACAAAGCAUGGAUCUACAUGGAUCCUCAGGAUCUUUGCAUUGGGUCACCCCAAAUUCACCAUCAGAUCACAUAGCAUCCUGCCCCCCAAAAAUCACACACCCACUGUUGCCUGGGGCUGCAAUGGUGCAAAAAUGUGGUUACAAAACAUGGAUCCACAUGGAUCCUCAGGAUCUUUGCAUUGGGUCAGCCCAAAUUCACCAUCAGAGCACAUAGCAUGUCCAUGGCUACAGCCUGCCCCCCCAAAA
Molecule: long non-coding RNA, 1396 nt
Organism: Podarcis raffonei (Aeolian wall lizard)
Lineage: Eukaryota; Metazoa; Chordata; Lepidosauria; Squamata; Lacertidae
Exons: 3
Source: RefSeq, a predicted model, not a curated record